Molecule: transfer RNA, 64 nt
Filed under: Auplopus sp. SJW-2017
Lineage: Eukaryota; Metazoa; Arthropoda; Insecta; Hymenoptera; Pompilidae
Description: tRNA-Thr
Source: RNAcentral
GUUUAAGUAUUUUAAUAAAAAAAGUAAUUUUGUAAAUUACCAAUAAGAGAAAUCUUCUUAAACU